RNAcentral lists this ribosomal RNA (465 nucleotides) under uncultured bacterium. RNAcentral describes it as "bacterial SSU rRNA". It matches the Rfam family "Bacterial small subunit ribosomal RNA", at positions 338 to 795 of the family's 1533-position model. The record is from RNAcentral.
CCUACGGGGGGCUGCAGUGGGGAAUCUUGGACAAUGGGGGCAACCCUGAUCCAGCCAUGCCGCGUGAGUGAAGAAGGCCUUCGGGUUGUAAAGCUCUUUCGGACGGGAAGAAAUCGCACUCUCUAAUACGGGGUGUGGAUGACGGUACUGUAAGAAGAAGCACCGGCUAACUACGUGCCAGCAGCCGCGGUAAUACGUAGGGUGCGAGCGUUAAUCGGAAUUACUGGGCGUAAAGCGUGCGCAGGCGGAUGGAUAAGACAGAUGUGAAAUCCCCGGGCUCAACCUGGGAAUGGCGUUUGUGACUGUUCAUCUCGAGUACGGCAGAGGGAGGCGGAAUUCCACGUGUAGCAGUGAAAUGCGUAGAGAUGUGGAGGAACACCGAUGGCGAAGGCAGCCUCCUGGGCCGAUACUGACGCUCAUGCACGAAAGCGUGGGGAGCAAACAGGAUUAGAUACCCGAGUAGUC